This is a long non-coding RNA of Panicum virgatum (switchgrass), 479 nucleotides long. RefSeq lists it as uncharacterized. The record is from RefSeq and is a predicted model, not a curated record. Lineage: Eukaryota; Viridiplantae; Streptophyta; Magnoliopsida; Poales; Poaceae. The transcript has 2 exons.
CUAGCUUCCCACACCAACACAAGAAGGGCGACGAGAACGAUAAUCUGGUAGCCAUGGAAGUGCCGGACACCGGGAAGAAGGAGCACAGGAAGGAGGAGGACCAAGCAGCUCAACCAUUCCAACCACAUCCACCACACACACCAGGGAGGAGCACGUCGGCGGGAGGGAGAUUGACUUGGUGGAGUACGUCGACAGCCUCGGCCCCAUGUCCACUGCAGGGGCCUUUCUCGAGAAGAAGUACCUAGCGUUAACCGGGAGGAAGUACGACAAGGUGGAAGGAUUGAUCGCCCCGGAGCAAAUAGCCAAGGUGCGCAAGCAAGAGGAGGAAGACGGCGGGGAGAAGAACAAAGGCGUCAUCUAUGAGUUGAUCAGGCAUACCUUGCAUUUAAUGGCCUUGUUUGGUUGCUACUAAAGCCUAGCAUGCACGUUUUUCGAGAAAAAAAAUCUCGCAUGCUUGAAGUACUAAAUGAAGUCUAUUU